This 2978-nucleotide ribosomal RNA is filed under the name Tsukubamonas globosa. RNAcentral describes it as "LSU rRNA". It matches the Rfam family "Bacterial large subunit ribosomal RNA". The record is from RNAcentral. Lineage: Eukaryota; Tsukubea; Tsukubamonadida; Tsukubamonadidae.
AUUAAAUAUAAAAAAAGAAAAACAAUAAAUGCAUUUCGUGGAUGCCUUGGCAUAAAAAGCGUAGGACGUAUAUGAUUUACGAUAUGUUAAGAAACUUAUGGUAGCUAACAAAAGCAAUAACCCUUAACUUUCCUAUGGAAAACUAAAGAAUUUUUUCUCUAUAAAACCUAGCAGAGUGAAACAUCUAACGAGCUAGAGGAAAAAAAAUCAACCGAGAUUCCGUUAGUAGUGGCGAGCGAACGCGGAUAAUUAAUGGUUGCCGUUAUCUAGUUACCAAUUUGUUUUGGUAAUUAUUUGCGCAUUGAGUAAAUGAUGAUUAACAGGACGGAUCCAUUAUUUAAGGCAUUAUAUAUUUAGUAUGGAUUGUAAAAGUAAGAAUUAGUUGGAAUAACUAAACCAUAGAUGGUGAUAGUCCAGUAUGAACGUGCGAAGUCCUUUGGCUAGACAUUCGUGGAAAUAUGUGAAAAUCAUAUGCCUAAGUCAGUCUAACAGCCUGAUAUAGAAGAAUACGCACAACCUACUAAAUUUUAUAAAAAAAGUAAAACGGAACACGUGAAAUUCUGUUUGAAUAUAGGGGGCCCACCCUCUAAGCCUUAAUACUUUUUAUGACCGAUAGUGAACAAGUACCGUGAGGGAAAGGUGAAAAGAAGCCGAAUAGGCUAAGUGAAAUAGACCCUGAAACGGAAUGUAAUCAAGCAGUCGACGGUUUGUAGUUACUACAGACUUACGGCGUACCUUUUGCAUAAUGGGUCAGCAAGUGAAUAGUUUUAGCAAGCUUAAGUCGGAUACGAUGUAGGCGUAGCAACAGCAAGUUUUAAAAGAUGAUAAGUUAAAAUUAUUCGACCCGAAACCAAGUGAUCUAACCAUGAUCAGGUUGAAAAAAUGUUAGCGCAUUUUGGAGGACCGAACCCACGUCUGUGGCAAAAGACGGGGAUGAAUUGUGGUUAGGGGUGAAAGGCUAAUCAAACUUGGAGGUAGCUGGUUUUCUGCGAAAUCUAUUGAGGUAGAGUGUUCUAAAUUCAUAGAAGAGGUAGAGAACGCGAUGAAUGCGGGGGGUUUUUUAACUUUACUAAAUUCAACGAAACUCCGAAUAACUUCUUUCAACAAAUUAAUGAUUAUUAGAGCAAUCAGACGGUGGGUGCUAAGAUUCAUCGUCAAAAGGGCAACAACCCAGAUCGUAAGCUAAGGUCCUAAAGAAAAAUACUUAGUGAGGCAAGGAUGUGAAUUCGUUUUGACAACCAGUAGGUGGGCUUGGAAGCAGCCAUCCUUUAAAGAAAGCGUAACAGCUCACUGGUCGAACUAGCGAAUUUGCGCCGCAAAUGUAGAGGGACUUAAGAUUUUCACCGAAGCUGCGAAUUUUAAUAAUAAGUGGUAGCAGAACGUUUUGUACUGUCGUUGAAGUACUAUUGUAAAAUAGUAUGCAGACAUCAAAAGUGAGAAUGCUGACAUGAGUAACGUAAAACAAUGUGAGAAACAUUGUCGCCGAAACUUCAAGGGUUUCUACGAAAGGGUUAUCCGCGUAGAUACAGGCGGUCCCUAAGAACUAAGCAAGUGCAAUGUUUGAUGGGUAAUAAGUACCAAUCUUAUACUACCAAAAGUGACAGAAAAAGAACAAUUUAUAUAUAUUUAUUGGAUUAUAUUAUAGAGUGUUAUUUUCUCAGGAAAAAGCUUUUGGAUAAAAAUACCGUACCGUAAACCGACACUGGUGAAGAAGUAGAGAAUACUAAGGCGUUUGAGAGAACCAUGUUGAAGGAACUCGGCAAAUUUACUCCGUAACUUCGGGAUAAGGAGGCUUAAAUUGAAAAAUUUAAGGAUACAGAAGAGGGGGUAGCGACUGUUUAAUAAAAACACAAGACUCUGCAAAAUCGAAAGAUGACGUAUAGGGUCUGACGCCUGCCCGGUGCUGAAAGGUAGAAAAGAAGAUGUGCAAGCAAAUUCUUCAAGCCCCAGUAAACGGCGGCCGUAACUAUGACGGUCCUAAGGUAGCGAAAUUCCUUGUCGGGUAAUUUCCGACGUGCAUGAAUGGCGUAACGACUUCCCUACUGUCUCCAACAUGGACUCAGUGAAAUUGAAAUCUCUGUGAAAAUGCAGAGUAUGAACGGCUGGACGGAAAGACCCUGUGCACCUUUACUGCAACUUUCCAAUGUCAACUUUUUUGAACGUGUGUAGAAUAACCGUGAUGCUUAUGAUUCCUUGACGCUAGUCAAUUGGAUUAUCUUUAAGGAAACUUAAAGAUAUGAGGAGGCGACAGUGAAAUAACGGUCAUGUUUAACUGAGGGGACUAACUUUUUAUUAAGGAAAUUGGAUGGUGGGUAGUUUGACUGGGGCGGUCGCCUUCUAAAGAGUAACGAAGGCGUGCAAAGGUAAGUUCAAGUUGGUCAGAAAUCAACUGAAGAGUAGAAUGGCAUAAGCUUACUUGACUGUAAGACAUACACGUCGAGCAGGGUUGUUAAAAGUAAUCCUUUUAAUGACGGCCAUACUGAUCCGGUGCUGCUGUGUGGAAAGGGCAUCGAUCAUCGGAUAAAAGGUACGCCAGGGAUAACAGGCUGAUGACUCCCAAGAGUCCCUAUCGACGGAGUCGUUUGGCACCUCGAUGUCGGCUCAUCACAUCCUGGGGCUGGAAAAGGUCCCAAGGGUUCGGCUGUUCGCCGAUUAAAGUGGUACGUGAGCUGGGUUUAGAACGUCGUGAGACAGUUCGGUCCCUAUCUACCGUUCAUUUCGAGAAUUGAAAGGAGCUGACCUUAGUACGAGAGGACCGGGAAAGAGAUCUCCAUUGUGUACCCAUUGUCGCGCCAGCGGCAACGUGGGGUAGCUACAGAUCGACGGAAUAACUGCUGAAAGCAUAUAAGCAGGAAUUCGACCUUAAUACUUAUUCUCUUUACGUAUCGUAGAAGACUACUACGUUAAUAGGCAAGGUGUGUACGUUUGGCAACAAACUUAGCUAACUUGUACUAAUUUUACAAUAUUUUUCUUUUUAU